GCCAGCAGCCAUAUCACCCUGCAACUCACAACUGGCAACCCACUGAAGCUAAGCAGGUGUGAGCCUGGUCAGUAACUGCAUGGGAGACCUCCUGGGAAAAACUAAGGUUGCUGCUGGAA
Ribosomal RNA from Lepisosteus oculatus (spotted gar), 119 nucleotides. Lineage: Eukaryota; Metazoa; Chordata; Actinopteri; Semionotiformes; Lepisosteidae. The record is from Ensembl.